Molecule: long non-coding RNA, 667 nt
Filed under: Drosophila guanche
Lineage: Eukaryota; Metazoa; Arthropoda; Insecta; Diptera; Drosophilidae
Source: RNAcentral
CUUUAUAUUUACAAUCUCUUUUUUUUUCUAGGCGUUGAUAUGCAAUGACUGCACCAUCAAGUGGCUAUGCGACACCAAGCCAAAGCCUGUUACGCGAGGAACCCAUCAGAACGCAGCCCUCCUCCCGCCCAAAAAAACAAUGAAUGCAAAAUGGAUCCAUGCAGGAGAUUGCUUUUAGUGGGAUUGGCGGCUCUUGCAUGAUCGGAGGAGGAGGACAAUCAACAAAAUAAGCGCCGACAGCUUUGAUAAAACCCAUAUCUACAGGAAAGAAACCAGAACCGUGGGUUGUCUAUACAUUUGAGUAUUAUAACUCAUAUAAAUAUGUGUACAUUAAUGGAAACCCAUGAAACGAUACCCUUUUGCAUAUUCCGCAGUUUGAAAAUAUGACAGAAAAUUUGCAUAUGGCUGGGAAUAACAUCUGCAGACUUCUUUAAUUGGAGGAGCAGCAAGGCCGUGACAAGGAAUAUUUGCGCCCGUUGCAAAGUUGUAAAACGGCGCCUCCAAGCUCCCUUCCUAUUCAACAUUGGCUAGUUUCGAGCCCAGAUUGUCGCCAUCGCCCCUUGGCACGACCCUGUGGAGCAGUACUUGGUCCAAAGAGGAAAACAACUUAAAACAUUUUGUUAACAGCCCAGCCGGGUCUGUGUCUUGGCGACAUGAAGAUACUGGC